AUGGCUCAGAUUGAACGCUGGCGGCGUGCUUAACACACGCAAGUCGCGCGUGAAAGGACUUCGGUCCGAGUAAAGCGGCGCACGGGUGAGUAACGCGUGGAUGAUCUACCCAUGAGUUGGGAAUAACGGCUGGAAACGGUCGCUAAUACCGAAUACGCUCCGAUUUCAUCUUCGGGGGAAAGGUGGCCUCUGCUUGCAAGCUACUGCUCAUGGAUGAGUCCGCGUCCCAUUAGCUAGUUGGUGGGGUAACGGCCCACCAAGGCGACGAUGGGUAGCCGGUCUGAGAGGAUGACCGGCCACACUGGGACUGGAACACGGCCCAGACUCCUACGGGAGGCAGCAGUGGGGAAUAUUGCGCAAUGGGCGAAAGCCUGACGCAGCGACGCCGCGUGAGGGAAUGAAGGUCCUCGGAUCGUAAACCUCUGUCAGGAGGGAAGAACCGCCACGGUGCUAAUCAGCCGUGGUCCUGACGGUACCUCCAAAGGAAGCACCGGCUAACUCCGUGCCAGCAGCCGC
RNAcentral lists this ribosomal RNA (516 nucleotides) under uncultured bacterium. RNAcentral describes it as "bacterial SSU rRNA". It matches the Rfam family "Bacterial small subunit ribosomal RNA", at positions 19 to 518 of the family's 1533-position model. The record is from RNAcentral.